Molecule: long non-coding RNA, 1488 nt
Filed under: Equus caballus (horse)
Lineage: Eukaryota; Metazoa; Chordata; Mammalia; Perissodactyla; Equidae
Description: lncRNA (ENSECAG00000056140.1)
Source: RNAcentral
GAAAAGGAACUGUAUCCAUGCUUCUUGAGGGAUACCAGGCCACUGCUGAAGCUGCUGCUCCCUCCUUUACUUUCUCUCAUUCUCAGGUUUCAAACCAAGUAGGGAAAAAUUAAGGAAACAUAAAAUAAUAUAUCUGAAGGCUAUUGAAACAGAUGCUGAGUUCCUAGCCAUCGUAUUCAGGCUUGCUGAUCAGAAUGAAUGGGAAAUUUUUUUUUCUAAUGCAAGCAUUGUACUUGGCACGAAAAUAGAAUACUACAUUGAUUCUUUUUCAGUGUAAGGACCUUUUCCCCCGCCAAGGCAAGCAGCCUUCCCAGUUAGCCAGCUCUUCUAGGCACUUUAAUAUGAUUUUGUUUGGGACCAAAGAAUGCAAAUGAGCUGACAUGCAGAUUCCCCUUUUCUUACAAAAUAAACAGCCUGGAGGUGCCUGGGAGAAGAGGGGCAGCCGUUGAUGGAGAGAGCUGAUGGGCGCUUGAGUUCACCUGAUAAGGGGUCCCUGCUACUUUGUUGCUCACCCACACAGAGCCAGAGGCUCACAAUGCCGCACUCAUUUCAGCCAGCUCCCAGAGCAAACCACCCCACCACCUGGCCUUUCCCCAUUCCCCAUUCCUCUUUCCUGCCUGAAGAAAACUUUUCUGCCCAGCAGGUGCUGGUGGGGGGCAUAGUGCUGUGCAAAGCUUGUCUCCCCUUCUACUCUUCAAUUCAUGACCUCACUGGUAAAGAGUCCCAUCUUUAUUAUUGCUGGAUCUCAGCAAAGCCAGCUGGAAGCGAAUCAGUGUGACUUCCGCCCUACCCCAGUCAAAUGAGGGGAGCAGGCAGCCUUGCCCUAGAGUCAUGGCCAGCAAGCCAUUCUGGAGCUUUCCUGCCCCCCAGUACACAGUUGUAUAUUCUUCAUUGUGAGUCCUUCUAGUUGUGGCAUGUGGGAUGCUGCCUCAGCGUGGUUUGAUGAGCAGUGCCAUGUCCGAGCCCAGGAUUCGAACCAACGAAACACUGGGCAGCCUGCAGUGGAGCGCGCGGACUUAACCACUUGACCACAGAGCCAGCCCUGAAGAUUGACAACUCUUGAUAGCAUGGCAUCUGAUAGAUUCUCUUGGAUACUAGGAGGAAUACAGAGAAGAGCAAGAUAAAGUCCCUAACUUCUAGGAGCCCACAAUCUCACAGAGGGACAAAUACCUAUUAAACCAAACUCUGAUACAAAGCUGGCACUGAUACAGAGCUAUAGGUUUACGAGGAAAUGAGAGAGAUAUUGAUUUUGACUGAAAUUGUUGGAGAAGUCAUCUUGGAAAAGGUAUGAUUUUAGUUGAGUUUCAAUGAAAGGGUCAGAGUUCUACAACUAAACAGAAAGAGAAAGACUAGGGGAAAGUUGGAGCAAAGAGAAUAAUGUUGGAAGGGCCCUGGAUAUAGGUGCGGAUAAGGAUUUACUAUGGAGCCCUGCACCAUUGGCUGAGUAGUUUUUUGGUCACAAAAUCCUGGUUGGAGAAAUGCUAUCUU